UACCAGCACCCCGAGUGGUCGGGACGAUUAUUGGGCCUAAAGCAUCCGUAGCCGGUUCUACAAGUCUUCCGUUAAAUCCACCUGCUUAACAGAUGGGCUGCGGAGGAUACUAUGGAGCUAGGAGGCGGGAGAGGCAAGCGGUACUUAGUGGGUAGGGGUAAAAUCCGUUGAUCCAUUGAAGACCACCAGUGGCGAAAGCGGCUUGCCAGAACGCACUCGACGGUGAGGGAUGAAAGCUGGGGGAGCAAACCGG
RNAcentral lists this ribosomal RNA (253 nucleotides) under uncultured bacterium. Its description in RNAcentral is "partial 16S ribosomal RNA". It matches the Rfam family "Archaeal small subunit ribosomal RNA", at positions 474 to 727 of the family's 1478-position model. The record is from RNAcentral.